UACGUAGGGUGCGAGCGUUAAUCGGAAUUACUGGGCGUAAAGCGUGCGCAGGCGGUUUUGUAAGCCAGAUGUGAAAUCCCCGGGCUCAACCUGGGAAUGGCAUUUGGGACUGCAAGGCUGGAGUGCGGCAGAGGAGACUGGAAUUCCCGGUGUAGCAGUGAAAUGCGUAGAUAUCGGGAGGAAUACCGAUGGCGAAGGCAGGUCUCUGGGCUGACACUGACGCUCAUGCACGAAAGCGUGGGGAGCAAACAGGAUUAGAUACCCGAGUAGUCC
This 273-nucleotide ribosomal RNA is filed under the name uncultured bacterium. RNAcentral's name for it is "partial 16S ribosomal RNA". It matches the Rfam family "Bacterial small subunit ribosomal RNA", at positions 524 to 796 of the family's 1533-position model. The record is from RNAcentral.